This 253-nucleotide ribosomal RNA is filed under the name uncultured bacterium. RNAcentral's name for it is "partial 16S ribosomal RNA". It matches the Rfam family "Bacterial small subunit ribosomal RNA", at positions 524 to 776 of the family's 1533-position model. The record is from RNAcentral.
UACGUAGGCAGCAAGCGUUGUUCGGAGUUACUGGGCGUAAAGGGUGCGUAGGCGGCCUGCUGCGUCGGUGCUGAAAGCGCCCGGCUUAACCGGGCGAGGCGUGCCGAUACGAGCGGGCUGGAGCCUUGGCGAGGGUGGCGGAACUCCUGGUGUAGUGGUGAAAUGCGUAGAGAUCAGGAAGAACACCCGUGGCGCAAGCGGCCACCUGGCCAAGAGCUGACGCUGAGGCACGAGAGCGUGGGGAGCGAACCGG